RNAcentral lists this ribosomal RNA (471 nucleotides) under uncultured bacterium. RNAcentral's name for it is "bacterial SSU rRNA". It matches the Rfam family "Bacterial small subunit ribosomal RNA", at positions 8 to 525 of the family's 1533-position model. The record is from RNAcentral.
AGAGUUUGAUCCUGGCUCAGAACGAACGCUGGCGGCAUGCCUAACACAUGCAAGUCGAACGAACUCUUCGGAGUUAGUGGCGCACGGGUGCGUAACGCGUGGGAAUCUGCCCUUGGGUACGGAAUAACUCAGAGAAAUUUGUGCUAAUACCGUAUAAUGUCUUCGGACCAAAGAUUUAUCGCCCAAGGAUGAGCCCGCGUAAGAUUAGCUAGUUGGUGAGGUAAAAGCUCACCAAGGCGACGAUCUUUAGCUGGUCUGAGAGGAUGAUCAGCCACACUGGGACUGAGACACGGCCCAGACUCCUACGGGAGGCAGCAGUGGGGAAUAUUGGACAAUGGGCGAAAGCCUGAUCCAGCAAUGCCGCGUGAGUGAUGAAGGCCUUAGGGUUGUAAAGCUCUUUUACCCGGGAUGAUAAUGACAGUACCGGGAGAAUAAGCUCCGGCUAACUCCGUGCCAGCAGCCGCGGUAAUA